RNAcentral lists this small RNA (281 nucleotides) under Homo sapiens (human). Its description in RNAcentral is "Metazoan signal recognition particle RNA (ENSG00000278348.1)". The record is from RNAcentral. Lineage: Eukaryota; Metazoa; Chordata; Mammalia; Primates; Hominidae.
GUCAGGUGUGGUGGCUCACACCUGUAAUCCCAGUACUUUGGGAGGCUGAGGCAGGAGGAUUGCUCGAGCCUAGGAGUUCAAGAUUGGUCUAGGCAACAUGGCAAAAGCCCAUCUCUACAAAAAAUAAAAAAUUUGCUGGGCGUGGUGGCACAUGCCUGUAGUCCCAGCUACUUAGGAGGCUGAGGUGGGAGGAUCGAUUGAGCCAGGGAGUUUCAGGCUGCAGUGAGCCAUGAUCAUGUCUCUGCACUCCAGCCUGGGCAACAGAGCAAGACCCUGUCUCA